Molecule: long non-coding RNA, 671 nt
Filed under: Homo sapiens (human)
Lineage: Eukaryota; Metazoa; Chordata; Mammalia; Primates; Hominidae
Description: non-protein coding lnc-REEP5-1:1
Source: RNAcentral
AGACUAAGUAAGGAGAGGUUACAGGAGCACGCAAUGAGAAGGCAGCUCUCUGCAAGCCAGGAAAAGAGCUCUCGCCAUAAAUCAAAUCGACUGGCACCUUAAUCUUGAACUUCCAGUCUCCAGAGCUGUUGGGUUAUCUCAGAAGCAGAACCUGAGACAAGAAAGUGAGUGGAAGCAGUUUAUUUGGGAGAAAGUCCCAGGAAGCACUGCAUUCAUUCCCAUCAUUUCUCAGUCAGAAGAUGAGAGAGAUACACAUAUGCACUCAGUACAUAUAUUCUAUCUUUAUCUGGAGGUUUUGAUCAAAAGCAUCCCGAUUCCCCCCAGCUUACACUCUUGGAUCACUGACUCUGAGGGAAGCCAACUACCCUAUUGUGAAGCUACACACCAGCUCUGAAGUGAGAUCCACAAGAUGAUUCUGUGAGCCGUCACAAGGAAUGAAAGCCUCCAGACAACAGCUGCAUGAGACAGUUAGAAAGAGGACCCUCUAGCACCUGUCAAGUCUCUAGAUGGCAAAACCUGAGCCAGAACCACCCAGCUAAGCUUCUCCCAGGUUCUUGGCUCACAAAAGCUGUGAAAAGAAAUGUUUGUUCUUUUAAGCCAUUGAGUUUUGGGGUAAUUUGUUAAGUGGCAGUAGAUAACUAUUAAUAAUAAAAUUGUAUUAGAUUUUUCCA